This 492-nucleotide ribosomal RNA is filed under the name uncultured bacterium. RNAcentral's name for it is "partial 16S ribosomal RNA". It matches the Rfam family "Bacterial small subunit ribosomal RNA", at positions 29 to 507 of the family's 1533-position model. The record is from RNAcentral.
AGUGAACGCUGGCGGUAGGCCUAACACAUGCAAGUCGAACGGCAGCACAGUAAGAGCUUGCUCUUACGGGUGGCGAGUGGCGGACGGGUGAGGAAUACAUCGGAAUCUACUUUUUCGUGGGGGAUAACGUAGGGAAACUUACGCUAAUACCGCAUACGACCUACGGGUGAAAGAAGGGGAUCUUCGGACCUUGCGCGAUUGAAUGAGCCGAUGUCGGAUUAGCUAGUUGGCGGGGUAAAGGCCCACCAAGGCGACGAUCCGUAGCUGGUCUGAGAGGAUGAUCAGCCACACUGGAACUGAGACACGGUCCAGACUCCUACGGGAGGCAGCAGUGGGGAAUAUUGGACAAUGGGCGCAAGCCUGAUCCAGCCAUACCGCGUGGGUGAAGAAGGCCUUCAGGUUGUAAAGCCCUUUUGUUGGGAAAGAAAAGCAGCAGGUUAAUACCCCGCUGUUCUGACGGUACCCAAAGAAUAAGCACCGGCUAACUUCGUG